Molecule: small RNA, 63 nt
Filed under: Parachlamydia acanthamoebae
Lineage: Bacteria; Pseudomonadati; Chlamydiota; Chlamydiia; Parachlamydiales; Parachlamydiaceae
Description: Termite-leu
Source: RNAcentral
AACUGUGUGUUAAAUUAAGUUGAAAGGCCGGGUAAAACCCGGCCUUUUUAUUUUAAGAGAGAG